RNAcentral lists this ribosomal RNA (301 nucleotides) under uncultured bacterium. RNAcentral describes it as "partial 16S ribosomal RNA". It matches the Rfam family "Bacterial small subunit ribosomal RNA", at positions 509 to 807 of the family's 1533-position model. The record is from RNAcentral.
CAGUAGCCGCGGUAAUAUGAAGGGUGCAAGCGUUACUCGGAAUUACUGGGCGUAAAGCGUGCGUAGGUGGUGGUUUAAGUCCGUUGUGAAAGCCCUGGGCUCAACCUGGGAAUUGCAGUGGAUACUGGGUCACUAGAGUGUGGUAGAGGAUAGUGGAAUUUCCGGUGUAGCAGUGAAAUGCGUAGAGAUCGGAAGGAACAUCUGUGGCGAAGGCGACUAUCUGGGCCAACACUGACACUGAGGCACGAAAGCGUGGGGAGCAAACAGGAUUAGAGACCCGCGUAGUCCCUGUCUCUUAUAC